RNAcentral lists this ribosomal RNA (497 nucleotides) under uncultured bacterium. RNAcentral describes it as "partial 16S ribosomal RNA". It matches the Rfam family "Bacterial small subunit ribosomal RNA", at positions 28 to 507 of the family's 1533-position model. The record is from RNAcentral.
GAUGAACGCUGGCGGCGUGCCUAAUACAUGCAAGUCGAGCGAACAGACGAGGAGCUUGCUCCUCUGACGUUAGCGGCGGACGGGUGAGUAACACGUGGAUAACCUACCUAUAUGACUGGGAUAACUUCGGGAAACCGGAGCUAAUACCGGAUAAUAUAUUGAACCGCAUGGUUCAAUAGUGAAAGACGGUUUUGCUGUCACUUAUAGAUGGAUCCGCGCCGCAUUAGCUAGUUGGUAAGGUAACGGCUUACCAAGGCAACGAUGCGUAGCCGACCUGAGAGGGUGAUCGGCCACACGGGAACUGAGACACGGUCCAGACUCCUACGGGAGGCAGCAGUAGGGAAUCUUCGGCAAUGGGCGAAAGCCUGACGGAGCAACGCCGCGUGAGUGAUGAAGGUCUUCGGAUCGUAAAACUCUGUUAUUAGGGAAGAACAAAUGUGUAAGUAACUAUGCACGUCUUGACGGUACCUAAUCAGAAAGCCACGGCUAACUACGUG